This 305-nucleotide ribosomal RNA is filed under the name uncultured bacterium. Its description in RNAcentral is "bacterial SSU rRNA". It matches the Rfam family "Bacterial small subunit ribosomal RNA", at positions 336 to 642 of the family's 1533-position model. The record is from RNAcentral.
CUCCUACGGGGGGCAGCAGUGGGGAAUAUUGCACAAUGGGGGGAACCCUGAUGCAGCGACGCCGCGUGGGUGAAGGAGCACCUCGGUGCGUAAAGCCCUAUCGGCAGGGAAGAAAAGCGAACAGGUUCGCCUGGACGGUACCUGACUAAGAAGCCCCGGCUAACUACGUGCCAGCAGCCGCGGUAAUACGUAGGGGGCGAGCGUUAUCCGGAUUUACUGGGUGUAAAGGGAGCGUAGACGGUUCUGCAAGUCUGAAGUGAAAGCCCGUGGCUUAACCGCGGAACGGCUUUGGAAACUGUGGAACU